RNAcentral lists this ribosomal RNA (169 nucleotides) under uncultured bacterium. RNAcentral describes it as "partial 16S ribosomal RNA". It matches the Rfam family "Bacterial small subunit ribosomal RNA", at positions 338 to 524 of the family's 1533-position model. The record is from RNAcentral.
CCUACGGGAGGCAGCAGUGGGGAAUCUUAGACAAUGGGCGCAAGCCUGAUCCAGCCAUGCCGCGUGAGUGAAGAAGGCCUUAGGGUUGUAAAGCUCUUUCGUUGGGGAAGAUAAUGACGGUACCCGAAGAAGAAGCCCCGGCUAACUUCGUGCCAGCAGCCGCGGUAAU